RNAcentral lists this ribosomal RNA (82 nucleotides) under Convolvulus angustissimus. RNAcentral's name for it is "partial 5.8S ribosomal RNA". It matches the Rfam family "5.8S ribosomal RNA", at positions 77 to 154 of the family's 154-position model. Rfam says of the family: 5.8S ribosomal RNA (5.8S rRNA) is a component of the large subunit of the eukaryotic ribosome. It is transcribed by RNA polymerase I as part of the 45S precursor that also contains 18S and 28S rRNA. Functionally, it is thought that 5.8S rRNA may be involved in ribosome translocation. Lineage: Eukaryota; Viridiplantae; Streptophyta; Magnoliopsida; Solanales; Convolvulaceae. RNAcentral also lists the same sequence under 1 other name. The record is from RNAcentral.
GAAUCCCGUGAACCAUCGAGUCUUUGAACGCAAGUUGCGCCCGAAGCCGUCAGGCCGAGGGCACGUCUGCCUGGGCGUCACG